UUCGUUACUGUUGAUAUCUGUACCUUAGAAAUAUUCUUUGUUUUAAAAGGUUUUCAAAGAAUAUUUCUAAGGUACAAAUAUCAACAGUAAUUAACGAA
Molecule: small RNA, 98 nt
Filed under: Mytilus galloprovincialis (Mediterranean mussel)
Lineage: Eukaryota; Metazoa; Mollusca; Bivalvia; Mytilida; Mytilidae
Source: RNAcentral